Molecule: long non-coding RNA, 9175 nt
Organism: Orcinus orca (killer whale)
Lineage: Eukaryota; Metazoa; Chordata; Mammalia; Artiodactyla; Delphinidae
Exons: 3
Source: RefSeq, a predicted model, not a curated record
UUUACGAAACCUGAGGCUGCCAUGCUGUGGGGAAGCCCAGGUCACAAGGAGAGGACACGUGUGGGUUCUCUGGCUGACACCACCAGCUGAGGUCCUUGCCGACAGCCAGACAUGUGAGUGAAGAUGCUUCCAGAUGAUUCUAGUCCCUAGCUGCUAAGUCACCCCCAGCCUUUGAGUUUUUCCAACUGAGUCUUUAGAGAGUGGGUAACAGAGUCAAGCCCGUUCCCUUUCCAAAUUCCCAACCCACAGAAUCCGUGCCUGAAAUAAAAUGGCUAUUUCAAGCCACUAAGUGUUGGAAUAAUUUGUUAUGCAGCAGUAGUAAUAAGAACACUGCCCUCAGACCUUCUGCUAGGACUCAUUCUUUUAAGAUUCUCAGCCACAGACAACUCUUUCUCCAGAGAUCUUAGGGGAAGAAAGCGUGUGCUUGGCACAGUUAAUAAGAUUUUUUUCUUCAUGAGUCUAGAUUCCCAGAGAUCAAAGAUGUUACAGCUAGAAAAGUUUCUAGAGCUGGCAUGUGUAGGGAAGAAAAACUGUUCCCUUCUUCCCUUCUAGGUUCUUUGGCUGGUCUAACAAUUAAACCAACAUAAAACAGAGUAACAGGAGAAAAAUUUAAUUUCAUAUGUACGGGAGUCCAUAAAAAUAUGACCCAACGAAGUGACCAAAGCAGGCAGCUUUUAUACCUUUUAGACAAAGAAACGAAACAUCUGUGAAGAAUUGACAAGACAGGAGUUUGGGCUUUGGACAGUAAAUUAGUGAAGAAGUAACAAGGUUUGUUUAGACAGCCUUCUCCACCCUGAGUUCCCUACCUCUGGUGAUAAGGAUGUCUCUCUACCUCCUUGUACAGGGAGGGUACAUUUUACAUGGGAGAUUUAUUCCCUGCUUUCAGGGGGAUAAAGAAGGGUCAGAGUGUCCUUGCUGUUUCUUAAGUAGAUUUAAUUCAAAAUAAUCUAUGUGCCAGAGCAGCCUACUUCGGGGUGACACUUUCUGCUCUCCAUCACAUGCUUGCCAACACGAGGGAGUCAUCGCCAGCAAUGCCGGCAGAGAGGGCAGAGGAAGGUGGUGAAGCCUCCCUCACCUGCCCUCACAGCCCUUCGGCUGAGUGAGCACGGAUCACAGCGGCUCGUGCAGAUGAAGAUGCCGAACACUGGAACAAUGUUGAGUCCACCUGGAUGGAUAGAAUUUCCCAUAAAGGAAGUGACGAACCCUGCAUUCAGUUGGCAAGAUAGUCCCCACAUUUUUUAGCCCCUGUUAUUCCUUUACUAUCUGCUACUUGCCCAGAAUCCCAUGUUUAAUGUCUAUUAUUUUGUUCAAUCCUCAUGAUCAGGGAUCAGAAGUAGUUUGUCAGCCUCAUUUUAGAGGUGUAGAAACUAAGGCUCAAAGACUAACCCAAGAGCACAUGUAUCUAAUUAAUGGUGAGGCUCUGACUUAAACCAUCUGAUUCCAAAUUCAGGUCUCCUGUUACUGUACUCUGAAAAGAAUCCCUGUUCUGGAGCAAAAAAUAAAAUAAAUAAAGUAAAAUAAAAUAAUUUUACGUGAUGUCGAAGGUUGUCAGGCAAGUGCUCGUUAAAGGUGUGGCGUUUCUCACUUUUUCAGACCAUUCCUAAGUACGAGAUCUCUGCACUUCCUUUGUACAAAGAAGUGAGUUUUCUGGUCUGAGUGUUGGCUUUGUGUGGACGUGAGAUGAAACCAGAGGUAGUUGGAAAUAUUUGCUGCUAUCUAUGUGCAAGUACUCCCCCCAGGACUGACUUUAAGCCACCAAGUUGACGUCACUGACCGUGGCAUUGAGCAGUGACAUGCACCUUCCAUGCUCCUGAGCCAGGACUAGCUAACUCCAGCCAUGGGUGGAACCAGUGCAGUUACAGGCUUCUUGGACCUCUUAGUUUUUCCCAGAGCAAUCAAAACAGCUUCCACUCCAAAAUUUCAAGUUAUCAAUGACAGAGAGAAAAACAAUGCCACUGUCCCUGAAGCCAGGAGGGCGGGCCUAUUUCUGAAGACCUCUUCUAUGAAGGGGGACCAUUCUGGAGUGGCGAGCAGCCCUCAGCUCCAGAGAACUCCUUGUAUCUUUCACCGGUAGCCCAACCGCAAUGACAAAGGCAUUGAAUGCUGAUGCCUCAGCAUGGCAUGACCAUCCUGCUCAGGUAGGGGUCGAGGUGGAGGGCGAUAUUGCAGGGCUGGGUAGGAGACAGACGGUCCCUGGAAAGGAAGCCUCAACCUUGCUCCAUAGGUCUGCCAUGCAGGCCUGGAGCUCAUGGGGUCCCCUUGGCUUCCACUCUUCUGGGACUAUGGAUAGAAAGAAACGUUGAAGGGAAGAAGGGGGGCCCAGUGACUGCCGUGACUCUUUCAAAGGGGUGGGAAUGCCCCGUCUCUCACCACCUGUCUCCCCAGUGCCUCCCUUCCCUUUGCCCUAGAUGUCUGGUAGCAUGGCCUUCUAUUCCUAUGGGAAAUCAGAUGGCGUAAGAUGGGUGAGGCCCUCAAGGGGGAGAUCUGGUCUAGCUGGAGAUAGAUAGACACCUGAGGGGUAUUGAUGUACAGGAGGCAGCUGACACCCAGAGAGCGGGUGAGCACCCCGUGUGAGGACAGACAGCUGGUGGGAUUUGUCCACAUUCCCCAGGAUUCAGCAGCUGGCCCGGUGCAGGUAGAGGCAGUCAGAAUGAACGUGAGGGUCCUUGAUCCGGGUCCUGCUCUUCUGUGCCCCCAUCUCCACACCUCCCCAGACAAACUGAACCCCUUGUAAUCCCUUCAACACCCAGACUUCUUGCACUUCGUCACUAUUCUCUUUCAGUAAAUGUACGAUCCCUCACUCUGUUCUACCCGUGUAACAUCUGCUGGCCGUUUGAGACCCAUCUAGGUUUCACCUCCCAAAGAAUCCUUUUCUGGACCCGGCCUCUCACCUCAACACACACACAGACACACACACACAGACACACGCACACACACACACACACACACACACACUCCACACCACCGUCGGAGCGGAUAUGGCCAGUUAAGGCCUUUCACCCUCUCAAUCCCCAUUUCCUCAUCUGUAAAACGAGGUGGUGGAUAAGCACUUGGGCUGUUCUAGAGUUCUGGGGAAGUCCAUGCCGUGAGCCUGUACCCACAUGGGUGCCAAGCAACCACACAGCCUCUCCAUUCUGUUCCAAGGAGAAGCGCCUCAGGUCAGAACAAUUUACUUGCAGGCACUUACAAUGCAGGCUUGCCUACAGAGCCUCCAAUUCCAUGCUGACCUUUUUUUUUUUUUUUUUUUUUUUUUUUUUUGCGGUACGCGGGCCUCUCACUGUUGGGGCCCCUCCCGUUGCGGAGCACAGGCUCCGGACGCGCAGGCUCAGCGGCCAUGGCUCACGGGCCCAGCCGCUCCGCGGCAUGUGGGAUCUUCCCGGACUGGGGCACGAACCCGUGUCCCCUGCAUCGGCAGGCGGACUCCCAACCACUGCGCCACCAGGCAAGCCCUGACAUUUUUGAUAAAGCCAGCUUAAUGGAGAAAAAUGCCUAUUCCCUAAACAAGACAGAUUUUGGUAGGAGUUGGGGUGGGUGGUGAGGGAACUUCUAUUUAUACAUCACAUUUCUCUAAUUCUGAGGAGUUCAAGCAUCCUUUUGGCCUUGCUUUACAUUUCCUACCCAUCUCAUUAAUAAAGAUUAAUGAAAUGACUAGAAUCUAUUGAGAAAAACAAAUCAAAAAUGACAAUUUUCAGUCCUUUCGCCUAGAAACAUGGCAUGCGCAAUUUGCCCAUCUCAUAAAAUUCCAUGCAGUUAAAACUGUGGUUAUUAGGCAAUUAAUACUUUGGUUUUGGUUCUGCUUACUCUCUGGAAAUGCUGCUUUCCAAAAGCAUAAAUGUGACAGGAAAUUUCUUCACUCCGUUUAUCCCUACGUAGCUUAAAUAUUAUUUCAUAAUUGCAAAUGGGCUUUUUCCCUCUUGUGCAGGCAGGCUAUGGCUGGUCUUCUCUGGAGUGUGGGUGUGACAAUAUGUUUAUUUCCAGGGUGACAGAGAGGUGCAAAUGAGUUCAUGGAUGGGAGAACCCUUUCUAAACUCCAAAACGUGAAUGCGGGGAGGCACCAUGGCCAUGGCAGUCCUGGACAGGCUUGCAGCUCUGGGAGGUCAAGUGCCCUCUGACACUUGAUGGGAGGAUGGGGUGACACCUAGACAGGGCUGUGGGAUGGAGCGAGGUCCUGGGAUACAGACCCCUAUUAGUACAGUGUAAGAAUCUGACAUGGAAAUGAUUUCACAAGACCAAGGUUUCUCCAUGUUCUCUAUUUCUCCUUUCCUUUGACAGUGUUGUCUCGUGAAUGCCCCUUUACCGUCUGCUAAAGGAGUGAGAUUUCGGUGAGCCCAGUUCCUCAACCUCAAAAUUCGAGGAAUUUGCAAACAGUCUCACGUGGCCCUGUCUCCAAGUCUCCUUGUGAACUCUCCCAUCCCACGGCUACACGUAUUUCUAGAAGAGCAAAUCUGUUUGGUGCACUGGAAAAUUCCGAUGCCAUUGGAGUCGUAUUCGUUCUUACCCUCAAACGUAAAUGUGCCCUGAGAGUCACUCAGGGACUCCUCAUAUGUACGGGAUGGCUUUGUAAGAGACUUAACAUGCAGAAAUCAGGGCAGAGGACUUUCAGUAGAGGCUUCUAGAUGCAUCUCUUUUCAUUCUCAGUCUGACCAAGUACUGGUUAAUUGAUCUAUUGAGGAGAAACCAAUUCACACACACUGAUACCUCCUUCCACUCCCGCUGGGGCCCGGGCUAACCCAGCCCCACCACUUCUGCCACCAAAUGAAAUAAAGUCCUUCAUGUUUUUCUCAUUUGUCUUAGAAAUCCAUCACCAGAGAAGGAACUCUGGCCACAUAAACCUUCCAUGUAGAAGAACAUGCCCACUAGGGUACUGCAGAAAUGGCAGAUCUCAUUACUCAGAGCAUAGACGAGGCAGAUGAUUUAAAAUAGCAAUCUUUUUGUGUAUUUCAACAAAUAUUUUAAUCUGGCCAGUAUCAAGAAUUCACUUUAAUGAGACCAAGUAUUUACAGAUCAAUUACUUUCUAUAAGGCAUUAGGAUGGGAGAAUAUAGAGUUGAUUAAAGACCCAAAGCCCCAGUAGAAAUGUAAAACCUGAUAUCUGAACAGUGUUUUAUAGACCAUUCUGCAUAGGCCAGGAUUUUCAUGUUCUCCCAGCCUCCUAGUGAGGCAGGCAAGUCUGUGCUCUUUUGUAGAAACCAAAGCACAAAGUGAAGACUCGACUUGCCUGAGAAUAUACAGGUUGUUUAUCACCCUAGUCCAAGGCAACGACCCUGGGUUCCUGCUUCUCAGAAUUUCCCUAAGGUCCUGGGUUGUAUUCCUAGGAAAAAAGGGCCUAGAAUUUAGAAUGCCUGGGGAUGACAAAUGGUGAAUGGAAAUGAAGAAGGAUAAAGUCCAAGAGAUCUCAACCUGGGAUGGUGUGAAAAGUGCACGGCCAGACAGUGGCCUGCGGAGGGAGAGUAUGCCAGCAAGUACAGCACCACCGGACAUGGCUCUGGGCAAGUCCCCCCUUUGCAAACCAGUCAGAGGGUAGCCGUCUAUGUGGACCCAGCCUGUGUUAUGUAUGUACCAGAUGUUCUUAGGACAUCCAAAUGUCUUCCCAGAAACCAAGAACUUUGGACAAACUCACCUGAGAUGCCGGAGGGUCAAGGGGUUGUAGCAGCUGAGGUUUCUGGUCAGGGAGCGUGGUCCUGGCUGCCUGGAAAGGCCAAUGAUUUGCCAUAGCUUUUGUUUCCGUGGCCAGCCUUCACAGACACUGUGGUCAUAAUCUGCUCGGCCCUUUAGAAUCUAUUAUCAAGGGCCACAGUAGACCAGUCAGAAUCCUUCCCUAAGAUCUCAAGAGGCGUAAUAAUAAAAAAUUGCAAAAGAAUGGAUCGGCAAGUAGAGCAAAAAUAGAGCUAAUGAACAGUCCACCCAGUUUUCUACGAAUUCUUCUUUCAUUUACAUAAAAGCAAACACCCGGAUGAACUCUUCCUGGUACACUACCCUCCAGCAUCCGAUGCACUUACAUAGAUGUUAGGGCAUGCUAUGCCAUCUUGGUAUUAGUAACUGCUAUUUUCUCUAUUUGAGUGACGAGACUCAGUGAAGUUAGUGUUUGACCCAAGCACGGUGGUGGUGAAGACUUUGAAUCCAAAACCUAUGCUUUUUCCAUCACACCAGUGGUCAUUCCAUGGUGCUCGAUGGGACUUGAGAGAAUCCACAGGUGUCAUUUUGGGAUGCUUCAAGCAUAGCGGUUUCAAGCGUAGUGGUUUUAGUUUCUACUUUAUUUUAUACACUGGAUUUCGUGUACAAUUUCAUUUGAGUCAAAGGUUCUGGGCAUAUGAAGGUACUGAAGUUCAUGAUUCUCCAGCUUUUAAUCUAACAUUUCCAAGUGAAUAAGCCUGAGGACCUUAGAUAAAUUAUUUUUAUAUCCACUUGAUCCUGGAGUGGUUGGAACCUUGGAUCGAUCUUUGUAGAUGUCCCUUUAGUAACCCGAGCCUCUUUUAUUUGUGGCAAACCAACCUGGGGCGGUACGACUGGAUUUGUGCUCUGGUUGUAACAUUGAAUCUUUGUGUGACCUUGAGCAAGUCACUUCCUCUCCCUGACCUCAGUUUCCUUAUCUGUAAAAUGAGGACAUUGACCUAGAUCAGCUUCCAGGCCUGACAUUGCAAGAAAGCUUGUGGGAGGCAUGGAGAAUGUUGCAGUCUUCAAAAAUAAAGUACCCAUGCUUACUGGCUAGCAGUCUGACAGUAGGGUUGCCAGAUUUAGCAAGUAAAAAUACAGGCCACUCAAUUCAAUUUGAAUUUCGCAUAGAUAACAUUUUUUUUUUUUUAGUGCAAGUAUAUUCCAUGCAAUAUUUGGGAUAUAAUUAUACUCAAAAAAGUACUUGUUGUAUAUCUGAAAUUCAAAUUUAUCUGAGUGCCUGGUAUUUUAUUUGGCAACCCUACCUCAGAGGUAUAUUGUCCUCUCUGUUCCUUUAGCAAAAAACUGAAACAAAUGAACAAGCUAAUGAACAACAACAAAAAUAAAACCUUGUUACAUUUUGUUCUUGUGAUCUUGGUGAAAUCUUCCUUUUUGAUCUUUCAACUUGUGACAUCACAGCACCCCAAAUAUUAAAUGCGAAAGGUGAAAACGAUACUAGUUCCAGUUUUUCCUUUAAUUUAACAUUUAUUGAUUGAUUUGUGUUUAAGAAACACAAUUCCGUGCUCGUAUAUCACAUUCUGUGUUUGCCUUGGGGAGAUUUUUUCCCCCGUGUCUGGUGAUCCAGCAAAUGGCUCUUGACUGGUGUGAGCCUCUCUUAUUCCUGCCUUAAACAUGUCCGUUUGGCCAAAACUCACCCUGGCAUUACAAGGAAUUCUGUUGGCUGUCUGAGUUCCCUUCAGACCUUAUUAUUUGUGUUUUAAUACACACACACACCCAAUCCAAACCUGCAUCUUUCACUUUUAAGCCAGUGAUUGCGUGUGGCUGGUGGUUUGGCGAUUGUGAAAUAGUCUUGAAAUAUCAGUGAGGAAAGUGUUCCUCCUGCAUUUGUGGCCCAACUCCCUGCAGGAGCUUCAGGUUUCCCUCUGUCUCCUUGGGCAGGAGAAAGCACCAACAUGGGGUGGCCGUGGGCCAGGGAAGCAAAGAGACUGGCAAGGCCGAGCUCCCUGUGUUCAUUCUUACUAUGUUUUCAGACGUCCUUUGCAAACAUUAUUUGGUUCUGUUGGGAAAUCACUUGUAUCCUGGAUAGAAUCGAUGGUACACCUGGGCACUGCCAAGCUCAUAGGUGGGGAGGGAGGGAGGACUAGCUGAGCAUCCAGCUGGAGGAUGACCCUCUACCCUGACCCUCGAUGUUCUGGACAUCUUUACACGGAUUUGAAUGAGGAGGUGAUGUGCGGAAGGAGGCACUAUGCCUGCGAAUCCAGAGACUUGCAUUUUCCUCCUGCGCCUGCCAGGGACUCAUGGCCAGACCUUGAGUCUCAGGGUCCGUCCAGUCACUGGGGGUCGGUUGAGCUGAUCUCUAAGAGAUGUUCCAGUCCUGCCUUUCUCAUUCAUUCAUUCAUUCAUUGUGCAACGCUUGUUCCUCUGAACACAAGUCCGGAAAUAGAAAAUUGUGCAACCUGGGGAGGACAGCAAGACCCUGAAAAGAACAUAAUUUUUUCCCAUUUGGAUUCACCCAGUGGGACUCUGAGAAAUCAAGGGUUUCUGCUUUGAAGUCAGAAACCACCUACCUUCAGCACUGUGGCCUGUGCUUCAAUUGACUCAGCUACAGAGUUUUAUCCCUUUUCCAACGUGGUAGAGGCUGAGCAACGAUGAUCUCUAGUAAACUACGUUACUCAUCUAUUGGGGGAUGUGCGGAAAUUCAUCUGCUUGCAACAGCCACGGGUGGAAUUGCCCAUCCUUCUUCUUCCCUCUGCCGGCCCUGGAAAGUCAGGCUUCAGCUGCCAAAGAGGCUCGCUGUGAGAGCUCACGUCUUCUGGAAACGGUGGCCUUGUGCAAUUUCUAUCUGGUGUGGAGGAAUGUAGGUAUUUAUAGGGCUGUGCUUUCCUCAGCGCUUUUAUGCUUCAACAGAGAGGAUCGCUCAAGCACGUCUUUGGGCUAUUUAAAGCUCACAGAGAGCGCUCUCCUUCCCAGUGCGCACACAUGUGCCCCGGAAUCUCAGUGGAACACUGCUUGAAUUUGAGUGGCUGUGUUUGACACUGAAUCACAGACUGAGUUCAUUACGCGCGAGACGAGAGGAGCUGGGCCCCCCUCCCCCGCCCCGCCUGUGGCUCACAAGUGAAGCCCACACGCAUGGGAGUAAGAAGUAGUCAUAAUGGUUAUGACGAACUGAUGCAGAAAGAGAAUCCAGCUCCCAGCCAGCAGCCAAAUCGCUUUCAUCCAGGCUGAUAUGUGCCGAAUAUGUGGUUGGCACUUCCACACGCACCCUCAUCUUACCCUCCCGUCAGCCCGGCGAGCUGGGUGGUGUUAUCAGCCUCCCUUGACUCAGAAGGUCACUCAGAGAAGUGACCUAGGUCAUGGUCACAAGUCAACCCAGGGUCCAGACUCCAAGCCCCUCAUUCUUUCCUCGAUGCCACCUCCAUCUACUCCUGGUGAAAAGAUAAGUGAAGAAAACUCUACCCCAAAACUACAUCCGUGAUUUCCAAGCAAGCUUCAUUUUCUCCAGUUCCCAGUGCAGCCACUCGAGAAUGACUUUGGUGUCACCUCUUAUGUUAGGAAACUGUGUG